GAUGAACGCUGGCGGCGUGCCUAAUACAUGCAAGUCGAGCGAACGGACGAGAAGCUUGCUUCUCUGAUGUUAGCGGCGGACGGGUGAGUAACACGUGGAUAACCUACCUAUAAGACUGGGAUAACUUCGGGAAACCGUAGCUAAUACCGGAUAAUAUUUUGAACCGCAUGGUUCAAAAGUGAAAGACGGUCUUGCUGUCACUUAUAGAUGGAUCCGCGCUUCAUUAGCUAGUUGGUAAGGUAACGGCUUACCAAGGCAACGAUGCAUAGCCGACCCGAGAGGGUGAUCGGCCACCAUGGAACUGAGACACGGUCCAGACUCCUACGGGAGGCAGCAGUAGGGAAUCUUCCGCAAUUGGCGAAAGCCUGACGGAGCAAAGCCGCGUGAGUGAUGAAGGUCUUCGGAGCGUAAAACUCCGUUAGUAGGGAAGAACAUAUGUGUAAGUAACUGUGCACAUCUUGACGGUACCGAAUCAGAAAGCCACGGCUAACUACGUG
RNAcentral lists this ribosomal RNA (497 nucleotides) under uncultured bacterium. Its description in RNAcentral is "partial 16S ribosomal RNA". It matches the Rfam family "Bacterial small subunit ribosomal RNA", at positions 28 to 507 of the family's 1533-position model. The record is from RNAcentral.